CCUACGGGCGGCAGCAGUGAGGAAUAUUGGUCAAUGGACGAGAGUCUGAACCAGCCAAGUAGCGUGAAGGAUGACUGCCCUAUGGGUUGUAAACUUCUUUUAUCUGGGAAUAAAAUGUUCCACGUGUGGGGUUUUGUGUGUACCCGAAGAAAAAGGAUCGGCUAACUCCGUGCCAGCAGCCGCGGUAAUACGGAGGAUCCGAGCGUUAUCCGGAUUUAUUGGGGUUAAAGGGAGCGUAGGUGGAUAGUUAAGUCCGGGGUGAAAAUUUGAGGCUCAACCGUAAAAUUGCAGUUGAAACUGGCAGUCUUGAGUACAGGAGAGGUAGGCGGAAUUCGUGGUGUAGCGGUGAAAUGCUUAGAUAUCACGAAGAACUCCGAUUGCGAAGGCAGCACACUGGACUGCAACUGACACUGAGGCACGAAAGUGUGGGUAUCGAACAGGAUUAGAUACCCUAGUAGUC
This 460-nucleotide ribosomal RNA is filed under the name uncultured bacterium. RNAcentral describes it as "partial 16S ribosomal RNA". It matches the Rfam family "Bacterial small subunit ribosomal RNA", at positions 338 to 795 of the family's 1533-position model. The record is from RNAcentral.